UACGUAUGGUGCAAGCGUUAUCCGGAAUGGCUGGGUGUAAAGGGAGCGUAGACGGUUGUACAAGUCUGAUGUGAAAGCCCACGGCUCAACUGUGGGAGUGCAUUGGAAACUGUAGAACUAGAGUAUCGGAGAGGCAAGUGGAAUUCCUAGUGUAGCGGUGAAAUGCGUAGAUAUUAGGAGGAACACCAGUGGCGAAGGCGGCUUGCUGGACGAAAACUGACGUUGAGGCUCGAAAGCGUGGGGAGCAAACAGG
Molecule: ribosomal RNA, 253 nt
Filed under: uncultured bacterium
Lineage: Bacteria
Description: partial 16S ribosomal RNA
Rfam family: Bacterial small subunit ribosomal RNA
Source: RNAcentral